This 612-nucleotide long non-coding RNA is filed under the name Vulpes vulpes (red fox). RNAcentral describes it as "lncRNA (ENSVVUG00000017205.1)". Lineage: Eukaryota; Metazoa; Chordata; Mammalia; Carnivora; Canidae. The record is from RNAcentral.
UAAAACACAACGAUGAAGACCCAAAUCUUGCUUCAGAAGAUGUUUCGGUCUUUUCAAGAACAAAGCGAUCUGUAUGGGAAAAAAUACAAAGGGAGAAACAGUUUUGAGAGAGACGGGCAGGCGGGAGAGAAGACGAAGAGGAGGUUGAAGGAAAGUUCAAGUGAAACCUAGCAACACAUAAACCUAGAAAAAGAGAAAGAAGGACAUAAUUUCUUUUUUGGUGUAGAAGACGUUAUUUGCAGCUGAAAGCGUACCAAGCGCUCCUAAAUCCGAAAAAUGAUCAUAUUUUCACGGCAUACAGAGGUGAGCAAGCUUCGGAGACUCGUCAGCCAGAGGCAACACAUCUGGUGCGGGUAGCAGCCCCGCAGGCGGCGGGACCAGUAUUACAGCAUCGAGAUUCAGUGCCAAGGCACCCCGCGGGGAAGCUUUGGGGUGCAGCCUGGGCUGUGGUGGAAGACUUGCCUAAAAUUCCUCCCACUCCUCUUCCAAAUAGCCCACCAACCCUCUACCCCGACCUCACUCUCCGAAAAACAAUUUUGCUCAAGGUGGGCUAAGCAUGUGUGAUCUCACGUUUACGGUGGUUUAAUGAUUUUGGAAAAUCACAAAGAAAAC